UACUGCUAUCGGUGUUCGACUAAGCCAUGCUAGUUAAAUGUUCUUCGUGAACAUAGCGGACUGCUCAGUAACACGUGGACAAUCUGCCCUUGGGUUCAGCAUAACCCCGGGAAACUGGGGAUAAUUCUGAAUAGAUCACAUAUGCUGGAAUGCUUUGUGAUUAAAAGAUCCGUCGCCCAAGGAUGGGUCUGCGGCCUAUCAGGUUGUAGUGGGUCUAGAGUACCUACUAGCCAACGACGGGUACGGGUUGUGAGAGCAAGAGCCCGGAGAUGGAUUCUGAGACAUUAAUCCAGGCCCUACGGGGCGCAGCAGGCGCGAAACCUUUACACUGCGGGAAACCGCGAUAAGGGGACACCGAGUGCCAGCAUACAAUGCUGGCUGUCCACAUGUGUAAAUAGCAUGUGAUAGCAAGGGCCGGGCAAGACCGGUGCCAGCCGCCGCGGUAACACCGGCGGCCCGAGUGGUAAUCACUAUUAUUGGGUCUAAAGGGUCCGUAGCCGGUUUAAUCAGUCUUCCGGGAAAUCUGACAGCUCAACUGUUAGGCUACCGGGGGAUACUGUUAGACUU
RNAcentral lists this ribosomal RNA (567 nucleotides) under uncultured archaeon. RNAcentral describes it as "bacterial SSU rRNA". It matches the Rfam family "Archaeal small subunit ribosomal RNA", at positions 25 to 594 of the family's 1478-position model. The record is from RNAcentral.